GCGACACUAGCUCAGUUGGUAGAGCGCAACCUUGCCAAGGUUGAGGUCACGAGUUCUA
This 58-nucleotide transfer RNA is filed under the name Vibrio cholerae. Its description in RNAcentral is "tRNA-Gly". It matches the Rfam family "tRNA", at positions 1 to 56 of the family's 71-position model. From Rfam's summary of the family: Transfer RNA (tRNA) molecules are approximately 80 nucleotides in length. Their secondary structure includes four short double-helical elements and three loops (D, anti-codon, and T loops). The record is from RNAcentral. Lineage: Bacteria; Pseudomonadati; Pseudomonadota; Gammaproteobacteria; Vibrionales; Vibrionaceae.